AGCUUUCUGAAUCCGUGCAUAGGUUUCGUCGAACACCAACACAUUAGGACUGAUCAGACUUUCAAGAUAAGUGAAGUU
Molecule: microRNA precursor, 78 nt
Organism: Schistosoma mansoni
Lineage: Eukaryota; Metazoa; Platyhelminthes; Trematoda; Strigeidida; Schistosomatidae
Rfam family: mir-3492 microRNA precursor family
Source: Rfam